CUAUUACAGGCGACAACAGUACACGGUCGUUCAAGAUUUCGUUGGAGCCAAUUUUGAUAGGAACAGGAGCAUUUGCUGUUCUCUGUAUUUUCGUUGCGUCAGCAAGGACACUGGUACAGUGGCAUAAAGGAAGAAGCAGAACCAUGGUUCCGGACAAUACAGAAGUCACAUUAUCAGCGAUCGAAGCUUCUCCCUCGCUUGAUACAAAUGAGUAUGUGGAAAUGCCUGCUACAUCAAUGCUUAUGAAUGCUUCUCACGAUUUGGAAGACGAUCAUUCGAAAUGAGGACACAAGAAGACUCAAUGAUGGCCCGGAAGCCAAUCACAGCUAUAAAGUUAGCGCAUGUGGGAAGCAGUCUGAUUUACGCGGGUCUGGACAUUGACCAUCUACACCAAGCCUAUGUUGGUCCGAUACCUGGCCCGAGACCAACCAUAGGAAAAGAAGCACCGUUGUAUGAACAUAUUGACUUUUCUAGCAAAAAAACAGUGCGUCUUCAUUAUUUAUAAUAAAAUACGCGUAGAUUGUGUAAUGACAAAAAAGGAUGACAACAUUGCUUAUGUGUCGAACUCGUAUAGACUGUGUGAUGAUUGCUGCAAACCAGGAUGUUCUUUUGCUUAUGUAAAACGCGUAAAUUAUGUAAUGACUGUUGAUAACAAGAUGACCAUAUAGCUGACAUGUAAAGAGCGUAGAAUGUUUAAUAUAUGUUGUAAAACAGGAUGACUACACUGCUUAUAUGUAAAUAGCGUAAGACUGUUGCAAAACAUGGUGUUCGAGCCUAUGUGUGAAACACGUAGACUGUGUAAUGUUUUGAGCAAAACAGAACGGCCAAAUUUCUUAAAUGUGCAACGCGUAGACUGUUUAAUUACUAUUUCGACACAGGAUGACAACAUUGCUUGGACGUGAACGCGUUUACUAUGUAAUGCUUUUAGCAAACAUGAUGACUAGAUAGCUGAUAUGUAAAUAGCCUUGAUUGUGUUAUAACUGUUGCAAAACAGGAUGUCUACAUAGCUUAUAUGUGAAACGCAUAGACAGUGUAAUGUUUUGUGCAAAACUGGAUGACCAAAUUGCUAAUAUGUGAAACGCGUAGGAUGUGUAAUGGCUAUUUCUAGAAGGUUGACAACAAUGCUCAUACGUGAACGCGUAGGCUGUGAAAUGAUUGUUGCAAAGCAGGAUGACUUCAUUACUUAUAUGUUAAUAGUGUAUACUGUGUAAUGGCUGUUGCGAAACAGAAUGACAACACUGAUUAUACGU
Mya arenaria is the source of this 1250-nucleotide long non-coding RNA. RefSeq lists it as uncharacterized. The record is from RefSeq and is a predicted model, not a curated record. The transcript has 5 exons. NCBI's taxonomy places the organism in Eukaryota, Metazoa, Mollusca, Bivalvia, Myida, Myidae.